GGAUUAGGCAUGCAAGUCGUGCGGCAGCAGGCCCCGCAAGGGGUGCUGGCGAGCGGCGUAAGGGAGAGUAACACGCGGGUACCUACCCUCAGGACCGGGAUAGCUGCGGGAAACUGCAAUUAAUACCGGAUGAUGUCUCCGGACCAAAGGUGUAAUUCCUCCGGAGGAGGGGCCCACGUCCUAUCAGCUAGUUGGAGAGGUAACGGCUCACCAAGGCGACGACGGGUACGGGGUGUGAGAGCAUGCCCCCGCUCACUGGGACUGAGACACUGCCCAGACACCUACGGGUGGCUGCAGUCGAGAAUCUUCCGCAAUGGGCGAAAGCCUGACGGAGCGACGCCGCGUGCGGGAUGAAGGCCUUCGGGUUGUAAACCGCUGUCAGUGGGGAGCAAAUGCACGGGGGUUCUCCCUUGUGCUUGAGCGAUCCGCAGAGGAAGCGCAGGCUAAGUUCGUGCCAGCAGCCGCGGUAACACGAACUGCGCAAACGUUAUUCGGAAUCACUGGGCUUAAAGAGUUCGUAGGCGGCGCGUUAAGUCGGGUGUGAAAUCCCUCGGCUCAACCGAGGAAUUGCGCCCGAAACUGGCGUGCUUGAGUAAGAUAGAGGUGAGCGGAACUGAUGGUGGAGCGGUGAAAUGCGUUGAUAUCAUCAGGAACACCGGUGGCGAAAGCGGCUCACUGGGUCUUGACUGACGCUGAGGAACGAAAGCUAGGGUAGCGAACGGGAUUAGAUA
Molecule: ribosomal RNA, 731 nt
Filed under: uncultured bacterium
Lineage: Bacteria
Description: bacterial SSU rRNA
Rfam family: Bacterial small subunit ribosomal RNA
Source: RNAcentral